UAAAAUUUCAAUUUUGAUGAAUACAGUUUCAAUUUUGUUAUAGUUACUCUUUGUUUUUGGGCGAGUUUUUCCACUUUUUGUGAUGGAUGAUUGAGCUCCAUAAGUGAGAUGAGCUCCAUAAGCAUUUUUGGUCAUCUUCUGCACUGGUAAUGGAUUACAGGAGUCUUGUAAUCGAUUACCAGAAGAAAAAUGGUUAUUUGUACAGAAACUUGAACUAUACUCCCCACCUGGAUGAACCGCACUCCCCAACUCUAUUUUUCUGACCUUUGCUACUUGUUUUAUUCUUAACUUUCUCCAC
Molecule: long non-coding RNA, 298 nt
Filed under: Vigna radiata
Lineage: Eukaryota; Viridiplantae; Streptophyta; Magnoliopsida; Fabales; Fabaceae
Description: long non-coding RNA (VRAD_LNC004003)
Source: RNAcentral